AGUGAUGGUGAAACAUACCUGGUGAAAUAAAAAAAACACUCUGGAGGAUUUCAUUCUUGGUGAUCUCUAAGAUUUCCUUGGUAAUGUUGAUCAUUCUUCCUACUACUGGAGGGACACGACGAAAAUCCAGGAUUCUGAAAGAAGGAAGGGGAAAUAUUUAUGACAGUGAAUGGAAGAAAUAGACUCCAUUUGCUAAGCUACUGAAAGAAAGAAGAGUUCAUUAUCUCAUGUGAAAAAUGAAUACACUUCCUGCACCAGAUCCGGCCAGCGUAUCCUUUCUAUUAACCUCUAUUGGAUCCUGAUGCCUCCUGUGAACAGAAUAGCCAAUGUGGAUCCAAACCAAUGCAAUGAGGAAGUCUGAAUACACAGAUAAAAGAAUUGCAAGGAGUUGAUCAACAGCUGGACUGGCCCUUGGAUACAGGGCAUGGCGAUUAAUGCCCAGAUGGAACUGGAGCCAGCUUGCUUCCUGCCUGAGUUGCAUCAUGGAG
Long non-coding RNA from Sceloporus undulatus (fence lizard), 488 nucleotides. RefSeq lists it as uncharacterized. NCBI's taxonomy places the organism in Eukaryota, Metazoa, Chordata, Lepidosauria, Squamata, Phrynosomatidae. The record is from RefSeq and is a predicted model, not a curated record. The transcript is spliced from 3 exons.